This 970-nucleotide long non-coding RNA is filed under the name Anser cygnoides (Swan goose). RNAcentral's name for it is "lncRNA (ENSACDG00005005652.1)". Lineage: Eukaryota; Metazoa; Chordata; Aves; Anseriformes; Anatidae. The record is from RNAcentral.
UUUUCUCAUCUGUACACAAAAAGUCAGUACAAGUGCUGGGCUAUUAAUCACUGUUAUUUCUGCUUCAGCUCAUAACUCAGAGCCUCAGUGCAGUUACUGAGUCUCUACAGAAGCCUUUUUGUUCACACCUGCGUAGAAUUUCUUCCCUUUUUAUAUUCACUGACAUUAGGAUCAGCAGAUAAUGAGAAAUCCCCAUUCUGUUUGCACUCUGUGUUACAGAGCAUGUCUCUAGCAGGCUGCUGUUUGACAUUCAUAGGCAUGGGUUGCUAGGGGUUUUUUUAUUUACAUAUAUAUAUAUAUAGACCUGUUUCUAGAUUACCUGUUACAUAUAUAUAGAGAGAGACCUAUUUCAACCACUGAUUUCUGGGGGCACUAUUAGCUUCCUGCUGUAGCCUGCCAGCCAGACCUCUUCGGAGGUCACCCUGCUGCAGGGAUGCAUCUUUCCUUGCACCAGCUCCUGGGAAGAGGACUCCCAGCCCCUAAGUGGUCAUGCAGGUCACCUACAGUGCUGCCUUCUGCUCUCAUGUGUCACUGAGAAGGGAAUGUGGCGGCAUCUUGUGACGGAAAGAAAAGGAAUUUGAGAUUGCAUCUCCCAAGUGAUCUGGCCUCAUGUUUGGUGCCAUUUGCUCUGUGACACUGAGCUCUUCACCAUGUUCUGCAUGUUUCUGCUUCAGGUCAAUGGGCUGAAAAAAAGAGCUUGAGGACACCAAGAGAGAAAUGGCUCCUGCUGCUGCGCUUCCGGGCACUGCAGGGAUCGUCCAGCCACCACCAGCACCUCUGCUGCCAGGGAGCUCCAGCACCCCUCUGCCUCCACCAGGAGUGGCCGUUCUCCCCCCUUCAGCUGGCUUCGGAUUCAGGGCAGCCUCCGCACCUCGGGUGCGUCCGUGGGGAUUGUCCCCACAGCGGGUUCGUGAGCCAGCAGUACAGCUGCAGAGGCCGAACUGGACCAAGCAAAAUGAAGACUUUUGCU